GUCCCCUUCGUCUAGAGGCCUAGGACAUCGCCCUUUCACGGCGGUAACACGAGUUCGAAUCUCGUAGGGGACGCCA
RNAcentral lists this transfer RNA (76 nucleotides) under Betaproteobacteria bacterium RIFCSPLOWO2_02_FULL_62_17. RNAcentral's name for it is "tRNA-Glu". It matches the Rfam family "tRNA". Rfam says of the family: Transfer RNA (tRNA) molecules are approximately 80 nucleotides in length. Their secondary structure includes four short double-helical elements and three loops (D, anti-codon, and T loops). The record is from RNAcentral. Lineage: Bacteria; Pseudomonadati; Pseudomonadota; Betaproteobacteria. RNAcentral also lists the same sequence under 6 other names.